Molecule: long non-coding RNA, 651 nt
Organism: Pocillopora verrucosa
Lineage: Eukaryota; Metazoa; Cnidaria; Anthozoa; Scleractinia; Pocilloporidae
Source: RefSeq, a predicted model, not a curated record
CGAUCUUCCUCCAUGUUGAAUUUUCUCUUUCUGCUGCGAGGUUUGUGGGUUAUACUGGUCUUUAGUACUCUUGAUUUUGCCCCUCUAAGGAUUCGUACUCUUUCUUAGAGUCAUACUAGACUCGGUAAUUACGACUUUGUCAAACGUUGUCUGAGGCGUUUUUACGUAGUGCUUGCCAGUGGAAAGUUUUCAAAAGUUGGCAAGAUGAAGAAGUUUUUACUAGCUUGUUUUGGUCUUGGAUUUGCUCUCGGAGGAAGUUACUACAUGUACCGAAGAUGGCAGAACUCCCGUGAGGAAAGCGACGAUGCUGACGAUCAAAACGAUAGUAGCACCACUCAGGAGAGAGCACCAUCUUUUGAGCCUGUUAAAAUAACACUACCAAGUAUCUCAGAUGGAGACAGCAGUGGCAAGCAAGACAAAGCAAAGAGUAUCAAAAAUACCAAAAGCACCAAAAAUAAUUUUGGGGGCAUGAGGUCCGGUUUUCUUUUGUAAUCCUGUACUUCUGCUACAAUCAACAAAAUACUUUCAACCCUUUUCCUUUAUAAAAAGAAAAAAAGAAAAAAAAAACGAAUUAAAAAAAGUUCUUUGCAUAAAUAUUACUUCCGAAACUGUUUUUCAACCUUUUUUGUAGCAGAAAAAAGAGAAAGGAAC